AGGGAAGUAAAAGUCGUAACAAGGUUUCCGUAGGUGAACCUGCGGAAGGAUCAUUACCGAGUUGGCCGACGCCCCGCGUCCCGAUUCCACCCUUGAUGUACCGAACCACUGUUGCUUUGGCCGGCCCCCGGGCCGGCCAGAGGCCCCCAAACCCCGGAAUCCGUGCCGUCUGAGUACCACGCAAUCGCGAAAAACUUUCAACAACGGAUCUCUUGGUUCCGGCAUCGAUGAAGAACGCAGCGAAAUGCGAUAAGUAAUGUGAAUUGCAGAAUUCCGUGAAUCAUCGAAUCUUUGAACGCACAUUGCGCCCCCUGGCUUUCCAGGGGGCAUGCCUGUUCGAGCGUCAUUACAACCCUCAAGCCCCGGCUUGGUCUUGGGCCCGCCAUCCAUGGCCCGCCUCAAACGCAGUGGCGGCCCCGUCCAGUCUCAAGCGUAGUACUACUCGUCGCUUGUCGGGCUCGGGCGGCGGCCGGCCAGCAAGCCCCUCACACACCAGGUUGACCUCGGAUCAGGUAGGGAUACAGGCUGAACUUAAGCAUAU
Molecule: ribosomal RNA, 541 nt
Filed under: Rhytisma acerinum
Lineage: Eukaryota; Fungi; Ascomycota; Leotiomycetes; Rhytismatales; Rhytismataceae
Also listed under: 1 other name
Description: eukaryotic LSU rRNA
Rfam family: 5.8S ribosomal RNA (bases 193-346)
Source: RNAcentral